Rhopilema esculentum is the source of this 808-nucleotide non-coding RNA. The record is from RefSeq and is a predicted model, not a curated record. Lineage: Eukaryota; Metazoa; Cnidaria; Scyphozoa; Rhizostomeae; Rhizostomatidae.
CCUCCCCGAAUCAUCUCUUACCAUCUCUUUGCCUACUAUAACUCAGCUGACCAGCACACAGAGAAGUAUUUUUGAGAUGGUACCGUUACAGUUGCGCAGAAAUCUACAUUUUCUUGAAUCUGCUCAGAAACUUCAUAUGCCAGCGUUGAAAACUCCGACAAAGGUAAUACAAAGUGCAAAGAUCUGAAGCUUCCACUUCAUGGAAUUGCUCUGAGAAACAAUAAAAAAAUUGCUGUCAAUGCAGUAGAAGUCAAGUGCAAUUCAGGAUAUCGUUUGGUUGGGUCAAAAUGGCGUGUCUGCACAAAUAGUGGAAAAUGGAGUGGGUUGCCUUCUAGAUGUGAAGACAUUGAUGAGUGUGCUGCUGGAGGACAAAACUAUCCGUGUGAUGACAAUGCCGAUUGUAUCAAUACCAUUGGCUCAUAUUAUUGUGUUUGCUUGCCUGGCUUUCGUGGUGAUGGAAUUAAUUGUAAAAGAUAUGAAUACAGUAAGUUUUGUUAUUUAGUUUCUAUGCAUAUGUUUUGUGACAAAUCUCCUUUUAAGAAACUGCAGCCCGAUGGGCGGUGCCAAAGAGGGGGCUGGGGGGCUUCAGCACAAACGUGAUUUUAUCAUAAAACAAAAAGAAAAAUAAAAGCAAGAAGAUAGAAGAAAAGAAUUGUGGAAUGAAUCCUAUUAUUGCUCAAUUUCUCAAGGAAUAAUCGAAGUCUAUAGUACCUCAUAAAGUAAUGAAUUCCAAGACUGGAAUUAAUCAACCGUAAUGAAAGCAUGCCUUAAAAAAUAGUAAAAUGUUUUAAACGAUUGCAAAAAAUGA